Molecule: long non-coding RNA, 486 nt
Filed under: Rattus norvegicus (Norway rat)
Lineage: Eukaryota; Metazoa; Chordata; Mammalia; Rodentia; Muridae
Description: long non-coding RNA NONRATT010101
Source: RNAcentral
GGCCUAAAAACACUCUCAGCUCCCACAUCCCACUCCCCUCCUGUGUCCUGUAACUGACAAGACCCCCUGAGGAGGAGGCACAGGAGGUCUCCUGCCAUCCAGGACUUCUGGAGGUGGUGCCUUGCUGCCCGAGAUGAGAGACACUUUGGUUCUGCAGCCCCAUCCUUCCCACCAGCACAGCUGGGAGAGAGCCUGCUCGAUGGCACUGGGUUCCCGCACCAAGGGAUAAGGCACUGUGUGUUUGACAAGAAGGCGCUCACGGCUGGCUGUUCCCAGAUUCUUCAAAGAGAGGUCCCAUAGCCUGCUGUGGAGAGGACAGGGGGGCUGAGCCUGAGCCCUAGGGAUCUCCAGUCUGCGUUCAUCAGGAAGUCCUGCUUUGAUCUGCAAAAGGGGAAUCUCUACAAGAUUCUGCCGAGGAAAAUGUUCUGUGCUUCCUAAAAAACUUGCAAAAUGACUUGCCAAGACCAAAUAAACGUUUCCUGAUUC